UGAACUUCUCCGCCUUUUGGCUAAGAUCAAGUGUAGUAUCUGUUCUUAUCAAUUUCUAUUAUGAACAAUCAAGAGAUGCUAGUUCUAUCCUAUCCUUCUAAAACCUGGCAUUCUCUAGAUAAUAUGAGAUUCCAAUGUCCAGAAUUCCUAGUUAGUGUGAUUUCUUGGAAUUCUGAGAAUUGCUG
Candoia aspera is the source of this 185-nucleotide small nuclear RNA. RefSeq annotates it as U2 spliceosomal RNA. The transcript has a single exon. The record is from RefSeq and is a predicted model, not a curated record. NCBI's taxonomy places the organism in Eukaryota, Metazoa, Chordata, Lepidosauria, Squamata, Candoiidae.